AACGAACGCUGGCGGCAUGCCUAACACAUGCAAGUCGAACGAGACCUUCGGGUCUAGUGGCGCACGGGUGCGUAACGCGUGGGAAUCUGCCCUUGGGUUCGGAAUAACAGUUGGAAACGACUGCUAAUACCGGAUGAUGACGUAAGUCCAAAGAUUUAUCGCCCAAGGAUGAGCCCGCGUAGGAUUAGCUAGUUGGUGAGGUAAAGGCUCACCAAGGCGACGAUCCUUAGCUGGUCUGAGAGGAUGAUCAGCCACACUGGGACUGAGACACGGCCUAGACUCCUACGGGAGGCAGCAGUGGGGAAUAUUGGACAAUGGGCGAAAGCCUGAUCCAGCAAUGCCGCGUGAGUGAUGAAGGCCUUAGGGUUGUAAAGCUCUUUUACCCGGGAUGAUAAUGACAGUACCGGGAGAAUAAGCUCCGGCUAACUCCGU
RNAcentral lists this ribosomal RNA (432 nucleotides) under uncultured bacterium. RNAcentral describes it as "partial 16S ribosomal RNA". It matches the Rfam family "Bacterial small subunit ribosomal RNA", at positions 29 to 506 of the family's 1533-position model. The record is from RNAcentral.